GAUGAACGCUGGCGGCGUGCCUAAUACAUGCAAGUCGAGCGAACAGACGAGGAACUUGCUCCUCUGACGUUAGCGGCGGACGGGUGAGUAACACGUGGAUAACCUACCUAUAAGACUGGGAUAACUUCGGGAAACCGGAGCUAAUACCGGAUAACAUGUUGAACCGCAUGGUUCCACAGUGAAAGACGGUCUUGCUGUCACUUAUAGAUGGCUACGCGCCGCAUUAGCUAGUUGGUAAGGUAACGGCUUACCAAGGCAACGAUGCGUAGCCGACCUGAGAGGGUGAUCGGCCACACUGUAACUGAGACACGGUCGAGACUCCUACGGGAGGAAGCAGUAGGGAAUCUUCCGCAAUGGGCGAAAGCCUGACGGAGCAACGCCGCGUGAGUGAAGAAGGUCUUCGGAUCGUAAAACUCUGUUAUUAGGGAAGAACAAAUGUGUAAGUAACUAUGCACGUCUUGACGGUACCUAAUCAGAAAGCCACGGCUAACUACGUG
This 497-nucleotide ribosomal RNA is filed under the name uncultured bacterium. RNAcentral describes it as "partial 16S ribosomal RNA". It matches the Rfam family "Bacterial small subunit ribosomal RNA", at positions 28 to 507 of the family's 1533-position model. The record is from RNAcentral.